GACGAACGCUGGCGGCGUGCUUAACACAUGCAAGUCGAACGGAAAGGCCCUGCUUUUGUGGGGUGCUCGAGUGGCGAACGGGUGAGUAACACGUGAGUAACCUGCCCUUGACUUUGGGAUAACUUCAGGAAACUGGGGCUAAUACCGGAUAGGAGCUCCUGCUGCAUGGUGGGGGUUGGAAAGUUUCGGCGGUUGGGGAUGGACUCGCGGCUUAUCAGCUUGUUGGUGGGGUAGUGGCUUACCAAGGCUUUGACGGGUAGCCGGCCCGAGAGGGUGACCGGCGACAUGGGUACUGAGAUACGGCCCAGACUGCUACGGGAGGCAGCAGUGGGGAAUAUUGCACAAUGGGCGGAAGCCUGAUGCAGAAACGCCGCGUGCGGGAUGACGGCCUUCGGGUUGUAAACCGCUUUCGCCUGUGACGAAGCGUGAGUGACGGUAAUGGGUAAAGAAGCACCGGCUAACUACGUG
Molecule: ribosomal RNA, 468 nt
Filed under: uncultured bacterium
Lineage: Bacteria
Description: partial 16S ribosomal RNA
Rfam family: Bacterial small subunit ribosomal RNA
Source: RNAcentral